This is a long non-coding RNA of Stegodyphus dumicola, 935 nucleotides long. The record is from RefSeq and is a predicted model, not a curated record. NCBI's taxonomy places the organism in Eukaryota, Metazoa, Arthropoda, Arachnida, Araneae, Eresidae.
AAUAACUUUAUUUUUGAGUUGGAGCAUAAGGCGCCAAAGGCAAGCCAAGCAUCAAGAAGUGGUCUUUAGAAAGCACGACUGAAAUGAGAGUUUUCUCUCGAAGAUAGCUAUUUUCCUGUCUUUUAUUACAAUCGAUACCUAUAGUUAAUUUGACAGUGGUGUGAAGUGCUCAAGUUUCUUCAGGCAAAAUAAAAAGUAAUUAAUGUUUGUGUCAUGAGUAUGGAUAGAAGUCUAGCCUAUAACUCUCAUGCUUAACUUCAGAACAAAACCGGAGUCGAAGGAAAGACAUGUCAGAUUACCUUUAGUCUCAUGCAGAAUAUCGGUAUUCUUCUGUUAUCAGGGCCGUAUUCAGAAAUGUGUAUAUGUAUGCAUAUAUUCAACUUAAUUCAAACCUCCCAAAGGUAAUGUUGUUGUUCCCAAUAUACAGAAAUCUACAAUUUAAUGCAUUCGUUACGAAUACUCAUCGGUCAUUUAGAUCUGUCAUCAAAAGUAACGUCGCCCAGGGUGUGCCACAGGGAACAACAGAAUUACAUUCGAGAGAACGAAGAACUUCCGUUGUAAUUUUGAUCGAGAUCUCCGGAGACGAAACCGAGAGUCUCCCAUACCUCUCCGCAGCAACUUGGUGCCAGUAGUUUAAGUUGGGGCAGGCCAGUAGUUUAAGUGCCCCGUGGCAAAGAUAAAGCAAAUGGGUGCUGGAAUGUCAGCCAUCAGCCUUCCACCGCAUCAUGCAAUACCCCAGAAUGCAUCUUGGCUGGAGAGUGCACCGAAUUGAGGAAUUCUUCAACACCAGACGAUGCUUCCAGUGCCAGGAAUUCGGGCACACGCAGCAAGACUGCAAGAACAAAGUCUACUGCGCUUACUGCUCCGGAAGCCACAACAUCAAGAACUGCUAUUCCGAGUUGGCCACCUGCAUCAACUGUGCAGACUACAGAAGU